AGUGGCGGACGGGUGAGAAACACGUGGGAACGAGCCCUUUGGUUCGGAACAACUCAGGGAAACUUGAGCUAAUACCGAAUGUGCCCUACGGGGGAAAGAUUUAUCGCCAUUGGAGCGGCCCGCGUUGGAUUAGCUAGUUGGUGAGGAAAAGGCUCACCAAGGCUACGAUCCAUAGCUGGUCUGAGAGGAUGAUCAGCCACACUGGGACUGAGUCACGGCCCAGACUCCUACGGGAGGCAGCAGUUAGGAAUCUUGCGCAAUGGGCGAAAGCCUGACGCAGCCAUGCCGCGUGAAUGAUGAAGGUCUUAGGAUUGUAAAAUUCUUUCAGCGGGGACGAUAAUGACGGUACCCGCAGAAGAAGCUCCGGCUAACUUCGUGCCAGCAGCCGCGGUAAUACGAAGGGGGCUAGCGUUGCUCGGAAUUACUGGGCGUAAGGGGCGCGUAGGCGGAUGUUUAAGUCAGAGGUGAAAGCCCAGGGCUCAACCUUGGAACUGCCUUUGA
RNAcentral lists this ribosomal RNA (501 nucleotides) under uncultured bacterium. RNAcentral describes it as "bacterial SSU rRNA". It matches the Rfam family "Bacterial small subunit ribosomal RNA", at positions 94 to 630 of the family's 1533-position model. The record is from RNAcentral.